This 413-nucleotide ribosomal RNA is filed under the name uncultured microorganism. RNAcentral's name for it is "bacterial SSU rRNA". It matches the Rfam family "Archaeal small subunit ribosomal RNA", at positions 330 to 745 of the family's 1478-position model. The record is from RNAcentral.
GUGCACCAUGCGAGAAACCUCCGCAAUGCGGGAAACCGCGACGGGGGACCCGAGUGCCGUGGCAACGCCACGGCUUUUCCGGAGUGUAAAGAGCUCCGGGAAUAAGGGCUGGGCAAGGCCGGUGGCAGCCGCCGCGGUAAUACCGGCGGCCCGAGUGGUGGCCGCUAUUAUUGGGCCUAAAGCGUCCGUAGCCGGGCCCGUAAGUCCCUGGCGAAAUCCCACGGCUCAACCGUGGGGCUUGCUGGGGAUACUGCGGGUCUUGGGACCGGGAGAGGCGGGGGGUACCCCUGGGGUAGGGGUGGAAAUCCUAUAAUCCCAGGGGGACCGCCAGUGGCGAAGGCGCCCCGCUGGAACGGGUCCGACGGUGAGGGACGAAGGCCAGGGGAGCAAACCGGAUUAGAUACCCCCGUAGU